GGAAGGAUCAUUACCUAGAGUUGUAGGCUUUGCCUGCUAUCUCUUACCCAUGUCUUUUGAGUACCUUCGUUUCCUCGGCGGGUCCGCCCGCCGAUUGGACAUAUUCAAACCCUUUGCAGUUGCAAUCAGCGUCUGAACAAACUUAAUAGUUACAACUUUCAACAACGGAUCUCUUGGUUCUGGCAUCGAUGAAGAACGCAGCGAAAUGCGAUAAGUAGUGUGAAUUGCAGAAUUCAGUGAAUCAUCGAAUCUUUGAACGCACAUUGCGCCCCUUGGUAUUCCAUGGGGCAUGCCUGUUCGAGCGUCAUUUGUACCUUCAAGCUUUGCUUGGUGUUGGGUGUUUGUCUCGCCUGUGCGCGCAGACUCGCCUCAAAACAAUUGGCAGCCGGCGUAUUGAUUUCGGAGCGCAGUACAUCUCGCGCUUUGCACUCAUAACGACGACGAUCCAAAAGUACAUU
Molecule: ribosomal RNA, 458 nt
Filed under: fungal sp. ARIZ L632
Lineage: Eukaryota; Fungi
Description: eukaryotic LSU rRNA
Rfam family: 5.8S ribosomal RNA (bases 154-307)
Source: RNAcentral